RNAcentral lists this ribosomal RNA (385 nucleotides) under uncultured bacterium. RNAcentral describes it as "bacterial SSU rRNA". It matches the Rfam family "Bacterial small subunit ribosomal RNA", at positions 30 to 417 of the family's 1533-position model. The record is from RNAcentral.
AUUGAACGCUGGCGGAAUGCUUUACACAUGCAAGUCGAACGGCAGCACGGGGCAACCUGGUGGCGAGUGGCGAACGGGUGAGUAAUAUAUCGGAACGUGCCCAAUCGUGGGGGAUAACGUAGCGAAAGUUACGCUAAUACCGCAUAUUCUGUGAGCAGGAAAGCAGGGGAUCGCAAGACCUUGCGCUCUGGGAGCGGCCGAUGUCGGAUUAGCUAGUUGGUGGGGUAAAGGCCUACCAAGGCGACGAUCCGUAGCGGGUCUGAGAGGAUGAUCCGCCACACUGGGACUGAGACACGGCCCAGACUCCUACGGGAGGCAGCAGUGGGGAAUUUUGGACAAUGGGCGAAAGCCUGAUCCAGCCAUGCCGCGUGAGUGAAGAAGGCCU